RNAcentral lists this ribosomal RNA (440 nucleotides) under uncultured bacterium. RNAcentral's name for it is "partial 16S ribosomal RNA". It matches the Rfam family "Bacterial small subunit ribosomal RNA", at positions 338 to 795 of the family's 1533-position model. The record is from RNAcentral.
CCUACGGGAGGCAGCAGUGGGGGAUAUUGCACAAUGGGGGAAACCCUGAUGCAGCGACGCCGCGUGUGGGAAGACGGUCCUCUGGAUUGUAAACCACUGUCCCCAGGGACGAAGAUGACGGUACCUGGGGUGGAAGCUCCGGCUAACUACGUGCCAGCAGCCGCGGUAAUACGUAGGGAGCGAGCGUUGUCCGGAAUUACUGGGUGUAAAGGGAGCGUAGGCGGGACUGCAAGUUGGGGGUAAAAUCUACCGGCUCAACCGGUAGCCGCACUCAAAACUGCAGUUCUUGAGUGGAGUAGAGGCAGGCGGAAUUCGUAGUGUAGCGGUGAAAUGCGUAGAUAUUAGGAGGAACACCAGUGGCGAAGGCGGCCUGCUGGGCUUUUACUGACGCUGAGGCUCGAAAGUGUGGGGAGCAAACAGGAUUAGAUACCCGUGUAGUC